RNAcentral lists this ribosomal RNA (253 nucleotides) under uncultured bacterium. RNAcentral describes it as "partial 16S ribosomal RNA". It matches the Rfam family "Bacterial small subunit ribosomal RNA", at positions 524 to 776 of the family's 1533-position model. The record is from RNAcentral.
UACGUAGGGCGCAAGCGUUGUCCGGAAUUAUUGGGCGUAAAGAGCUCGUAGGCGGUCUGUUACGUCCGCUGUGAAAACCCGGGGCUUAACCCUGGGCUUGCAGUGGAUACGGGCAGACUAGAGGCAGGUAGGGGAGAAUGGAAUUCCCGGUGUAGCGGUGAAAUGCGCAGAUAUCGGGAGGAACACCGGUGGCGAAGGCGGUUCUCUGGGCCUGACCUGACGCUGAGGAGCGAAAGCGUGGGGAGCGAACAGG